Molecule: non-coding RNA, 27 nt
Filed under: Mus musculus (house mouse)
Lineage: Eukaryota; Metazoa; Chordata; Mammalia; Rodentia; Muridae
Source: RNAcentral
UAUAUACUUUAAUGUGCUCAGCCUACC